ACACUGAUGGUGAAGCGGUUAUCAUGCUUGCCUUCCACUUAUAUCUGAUAGCACAUGAUAUUAGGUAAUAAGCAAGUGGCAGGGGUUUGACUCCCCUUCGGUGUA
Non-coding RNA from Crucibulum laeve, 105 nucleotides. The record is from the annotation of a GenBank genome assembly. NCBI's taxonomy places the organism in Eukaryota, Fungi, Basidiomycota, Agaricomycetes, Agaricales, Nidulariaceae.